This 447-nucleotide ribosomal RNA is filed under the name uncultured bacterium. RNAcentral describes it as "bacterial SSU rRNA". It matches the Rfam family "Bacterial small subunit ribosomal RNA", at positions 355 to 825 of the family's 1533-position model. The record is from RNAcentral.
UGGGGAAUAUUGGACAAUGGGCGCAAGCCUGAUCCAGCCAUGCCGCGUGAGUGACGAAGGCCUUAGGGUUGUAAAGCUCUUUUGGCGGGGAAGAUAAUGACGGUACCCGCAGAAUAAGCUCCGGCUAACUUCGUGCCAGCAGCCGCGGUAAUACGAAGGGAGCUAGCGUUGUUCGGAAUCACUGGGCGUAAAGCGCACGUAGGUGGGCAGUUAAGUCAGGGGUGAAAUCCUGGGGCUCAACCCCAGAACUGCCUUUGAUACUGGCUGUCUCGAGGUCGAGAGAGGUUGGUGGAAUUCCUAGUGUAGAGGUGAAAUUCGUAGAUAUUAGGAAGAACACCAGUGGCGAAGGCGGCCAACUGGCUCGAUACUGACGCUGAGGUGCGAAAGCGUGGGGAGCAAACAGGAUUAGAUACCCCUGUAGUCCCUGAGCGGGCUGGCAAGGCGCAU